This 406-nucleotide ribosomal RNA is filed under the name uncultured bacterium. RNAcentral describes it as "partial 16S ribosomal RNA". It matches the Rfam family "Bacterial small subunit ribosomal RNA", at positions 30 to 526 of the family's 1533-position model. The record is from RNAcentral.
AUUGAACGCUGGCGGCAGGCCUAACACAUGCAAGUCGAACGAGUGGCGGACGGGUGAGUAAUGUCUGGGAAACUGCCCGAUGGAGGGGGAUAACUACUGGAAACGGUAGCUAAUACCGCAUACUAUCGGAUGAACCCAUAUGGGAUUAGCUUGUUGGUGGGGUAAAGGCUCACCUAGGCGACGAUCCCUAGCUGGUCUGAGAGGAUGACCAGCCACACUGGAACGUAGACACGGUCCAGACUCCUACGGGAGGCAGCAGUGGGGAAUAUGGCACAAUGGGCGCAAGCCUGAUGCAGCCAUGCCGCGUGUAUGAAGAAGGCCUUCGGGUUGUAAAGUACUUUCAGCGGGGAGGCGUUACCCGCAGAAGAAGCACCGGCUAACUCCGUGCCAGCAGCCGCGGUAAUUC